Molecule: non-coding RNA, 716 nt
Organism: Xyrichtys novacula (pearly razorfish)
Lineage: Eukaryota; Metazoa; Chordata; Actinopteri; Labriformes; Labridae
Source: the annotation of a GenBank genome assembly
CCUCCUGCAUGUGUCUUCCCCUUUUGUACUUGGUCUCAUCCCUUGCUGACAUUUUAACUGUAGCUGUCAACAGCAACUCUUCACAGCCCGGACAGAAGUAUCAGAAAGAGCAGUGAGAGCGAAGCGGUCGUCCUCUGUUGUGAUUGUGUUAUUGCAUCAUAAUCUGGUGAAGUGAUUAUUUCAGUGCCAUGUGGGACUGUUGUGGCUUGGCUGCAUGUCAGCAGCUCUGAAGAGUCUAUUCUGAAGCUCGCCCUUGGACCAUGCUGGACUAAACUCUGUAAAAUCUGAAACAGCUCUGGAAUGUGCCUGAAAGUCUUCACCUACCAGACUACUUUCCUUUACAAUCAAGACCCCCGAUUUCAUCCAGAAGAACAGGUGAGUUUCUUACUCAGUCCAUUUCUUGGCAUGAGAAAUCCAUAAAAACUUAUAUUCCUCUUUAAACAGUUGCCGCGAAAGGUUAAAAAGAGAGAGACAGAGACAGGCUACUAAAACUAUCAAUUUACUUUGAAAUCUUACUUUCUUUUCAAGUUUUCUUUUUGUCUCCAGUGGACUUUUGUCAAGGGAGAGUCUCCGUGCUUGGGCGGUGUGAGUCAGCUUAGCAGAAAAAUAAUCAGGCUCAAAAUGUUGAUUCUCUGCAGGGCUGAAUGAUUUUUGCAGCUCUCCAAGCUUAGGUCACUGCAACAAGUUGAUAAAGAAACUGUGGAAAUUCCCAGAGC